AGUGAACGCUGGCGGUAGGCCUAACACAUGCCAGUCGAACGGCAGCACAGAGGAGCUUUCUCCUUGGGUGGCGAGUGGCGGACGGGUGAGGAAUACAUCGGAAUCUACUCUGUCGUGGGGGAUAACGUAGUGAAACUUACGCUAAUACCGCAUACGCCCUACGGGUGAAAGCAGGGGAUCUUCGGACCUUGCGCGAUUGACUGAGCCGAUGUCGGAUUAGCUAGGUGGCGGGGUAAAGGCCCACCAAGGCGACGAUCCGUAGCGGGUCUGAGAGGAUGAUCAGCCACACUGGAACUGAGACACGGUCCAGACUCCUACGGGAGGCAGCAGUUGGGAAUAUUGGACAAUGGGCGCAAGCCUGAUCCAGCCAUACCGCGUGGGUGAAGAAGGCCUUCGGGUUGUAAAGCCCUUUUGUUGGGAAAGAAAUCCAUCUGGUUAAUACCCGGGUGGGAUGACGGUACCCAAAGAAUAAGCACCGGCUAACUUCGUGCCAGCCGCCGCAGUAA
This 506-nucleotide ribosomal RNA is filed under the name uncultured bacterium. Its description in RNAcentral is "partial 16S ribosomal RNA". It matches the Rfam family "Bacterial small subunit ribosomal RNA", at positions 29 to 523 of the family's 1533-position model. The record is from RNAcentral.